Podarcis lilfordi (Lilford's wall lizard) is the source of this 76-nucleotide non-coding RNA. Lineage: Eukaryota; Metazoa; Chordata; Lepidosauria; Squamata; Lacertidae. The record is from the annotation of a GenBank genome assembly.
GUUCUUGGUAUAAGCUUUCGUGUGCAUGCACACUUCUGAGUAAGUGUACAUGCACACGAAAGCUUAUACCAGGAAC